GAAAUAUUUUGUGGAUAACGAAACUUCACCUGACCUCCCAUCAGCAUCAGAGAUCCUUAUCUUCAGUUUCAGUGGUGUGUUUAAGGACAGUGGGACAUGUGGAGUCAGUGUUGGCUCAGCAGCUUGAACUCAGGCAGUGAAGUCUACCUUGGAGAGCGAGCUCAGCUGAAACAUGACGACUCCCAGCAGGCUGGAUGAAUAAUGGAGGACCUGCAGCUGCAGGCCGGAGGACACGUGCAGCCUCUCGGCCACAUUUAGCUCCAGUCGGCCUCAACAGCAGCAGGUCAACGCUUCUACCUCCACAGACACGUGUUAAACUUUGUUUUUAAUGUUGGGACGAUGUCAGCAGGUUCAGAGUUCAGUUUUAAAUUACUGUGAUUAUAAUUGGACCUAAAACGUUGAAUUAAUUAGCAGAUAUAUAGAUAUGUUGACAGUUUCAGUGCUCUGAGGUCAUUUUAGAUAAAAAAGUUUAUUAUCAAACUAUAAAAUGUAUAUAUUAUUUAUUUAUCAAACAUUUCUCUGUGUAUCUAGUCACUGUAAAAUGGCAAAAAAGCUAUCGGAUGGACUUUAAUAUGUAGUUUCCAAUUAUUGUUGUCAUGAUAUACAGAUAUUGAUAAUGACGAUGAUAUUAAAGAUUAAAUAUUGAUUUUGUGUUAAAUAA
Molecule: long non-coding RNA, 661 nt
Organism: Acanthopagrus latus (yellowfin seabream)
Lineage: Eukaryota; Metazoa; Chordata; Actinopteri; Spariformes; Sparidae
Exons: 2
Source: RefSeq, a predicted model, not a curated record